AAUCAACGCUGGCGGCGUGCCUAACACAUGCAAGUCGCACGAGAAAGAGGGGGCAACCCCUUGAGUAAAGUGGCGUACGGGUGAGUAACACGUGACUAACCUACCUCCGAGUGGGGAAUAACUCCGGGAAACCGGGGCUAAUACCGCAUAACAUCUACGGAUCAAAGCAGUAAUGCGCUUGGAGAGGGGGUCGCGGCUGAUUAGCUAGUUGGUGAGGUAAUGGCUCACCAAGGCGACGAUCAGUAUCCGGCCUGAGAGGGCGCACGGACACACUGGAACUGAAACACGGUCCAGACUCCUACGGGAGGCAGCAGUGGGGAAUUUUGCGCAAUGGGGGAAACCCUGACGCAGCAACGCCGCGUGGAGGAUGAAGGUCUUUGGAUUUGUAAACUCCUUUCGAUCGGGACGAUUAUGGACGGUACCGGAAGAAGAAGCACCGGCUAACUCUGUGCCAGCAGCCGCCGUAAG
This 468-nucleotide ribosomal RNA is filed under the name uncultured bacterium. Its description in RNAcentral is "bacterial SSU rRNA". It matches the Rfam family "Bacterial small subunit ribosomal RNA", at positions 32 to 524 of the family's 1533-position model. The record is from RNAcentral.